Eucalyptus grandis is the source of this 146-nucleotide non-coding RNA. Lineage: Eukaryota; Viridiplantae; Streptophyta; Magnoliopsida; Myrtales; Myrtaceae. The record is from Rfam.
UUAGCAGAGAAUGUGUAUCAGCGUGGUGCGACAAAGGUGCGCCUAUCGCCGAAGGUGAUCUCUACGAAAUCGAGAAGGGGAAGGUAGGCAGUUGUCGUUCAAACUUCUUCCCAUUAGGCUCUACGACAAUCAUCUUCCCCUCAUUC